UGGUUACAGGUGGAAGGAAUGCAAGUUCAUGCCAAUGAGGGGGGAGUAACACAAACACGUGGUGGUGUUUAUUGGUUGAUCUUGCCUGCUGGAUAUCUUGGUUCGUCUUUUUGGGGGAUGGUUCUCAUACUUGCAUCGACAAAUCUUCUCACUGCAAAGAUUGCUGCUGGUUGUUUCAUUGCUGCUCUGCUCAUUGUGCUCUUUAUUGCCCAAAAUGUAAGGAGCUAAGU
Molecule: long non-coding RNA, 230 nt
Organism: Solanum tuberosum (potato)
Lineage: Eukaryota; Viridiplantae; Streptophyta; Magnoliopsida; Solanales; Solanaceae
Exons: 2
Source: RefSeq, a predicted model, not a curated record